AUCGUGCAAAGGAAGGUAAGUCCAGUUGUGACGCGCGCUGCAAGUCAUCUCCAUUCUGGCCGAAUUCGCGGCUCUCGCCAGAGAAACGGCUUCCGCUCUGGCGCACUUGUCUGCUCUGACUCUCGGUUCCUCUGGCUUCUUGAUUUCUCUGCUCUGGCAUUCGGUUCCUCUGACUGGUGAUUCCGCUGCUCUGGCUUUUCAUUUCUAUGGCUAUUCAUUUCUCUGACUAUUGAUUCCUCUGGCGAUUG
RNAcentral lists this long non-coding RNA (248 nucleotides) under Salvia miltiorrhiza (redroot sage). Its description in RNAcentral is "long non-coding RNA (SMIL_LNC011991)". The record is from RNAcentral. Lineage: Eukaryota; Viridiplantae; Streptophyta; Magnoliopsida; Lamiales; Lamiaceae.